This is a long non-coding RNA of Ostrea edulis (European flat oyster), 763 nucleotides long. RefSeq lists it as uncharacterized. NCBI's taxonomy places the organism in Eukaryota, Metazoa, Mollusca, Bivalvia, Ostreida, Ostreidae. The transcript is spliced from 2 exons. The record is from RefSeq and is a predicted model, not a curated record.
GUAAAAUUACAUAGAAACACAUAUAAUAUGGCGGGAUAAUGUCUUACUGCAUGCUGACAGAAGUUUAGACGAAGACAUGUGGCAUUCAAAAUAUUCUUUCCACUCACCCACACGAAAGAAGAAGGUGUGAGAGACAUAUCUCCGAGUACCAGCGUUCUAGUAAUACAGAUAAGUUGAUUCAGAGACAUCAACGUCAGAUUGAAAGGUCUCUCCAGCUAGGCCGAAAAGAACAAGCUCUUCAUUACAUGGGAUGCAAGACAGUGGUCCACACCGUAAUGUACUUCUACAAACAAUACUACGUCCGCAGCUGGCUACAGGCGCAGGUUCAUUCCUGGGAAAUCUUGCGCGCCGUGGAUACCGACUGCGAUCCCCCUAACUUCGUGUCAGCCACGCUAAACUUCCAGAACGAGAGGAUACAACCCUAUAAGUAUCAUCAGGCACAAGUUGCUGCCCAGUGUAGUUUCUCAAGGGCAAGUUAGAGUGAUCUGUGUUUGCAGUACUUGUUUGAUAUUUGACAGCAAUUUUGUCUUAUUGGGAUUUAGAACUGGACUCUGAAUGCUGUGAGAACUUUGCGUGAAUCAAAAAAAAAGUGGGAUACGAUGUAACACUUUAAUUCUGACAUUUGGAUUUAAUUCUACUGAGUUUUAUUAAUCUAAUCUGAGCAGUUAGGAGAAUUGUAUGUGCAUAAAUUGUGCUAUACUAUUACUGUUAAAAUGUUAUUGUGCAAGUGCUUAUGAGACUAAUAAUAAAUUGUAAACCAAUA